Molecule: ribosomal RNA, 724 nt
Filed under: uncultured Vibrio sp.
Lineage: Bacteria; Pseudomonadati; Pseudomonadota; Gammaproteobacteria; Vibrionales; Vibrionaceae
Description: bacterial SSU rRNA
Rfam family: Bacterial small subunit ribosomal RNA
Source: RNAcentral
GCAGCCCGNCGGUNANUNCGGAGGGGUGCAAGCNGUUAAUCGGGAAUUACUGGGGCGUAAAGCGCAUGCAGGGCGGNUCUGNUAAGUCAGAUGUGAAAGCCCCNGGGCUUAACCUGGGAGUGGCAUUUGAGACNGNCAGGCUAGAGUCUUGUAGAGGGGGGUAGAAUUCCAGGUGUAGCGGUGAAAUGCGUAGAGAUCUGGAGGAAUAUCGGUGGCGAAGGCGGCCCCCUGGACAAAGACUGACGNUCAGAUGCGAAAGCGUGGGUAGCAAACAGGAUUAGAUACCCUGGUAGUCCACGCCGUAAACGAUGUCUACUUGAAGGUUGGGAUCUUGAAUUCUGGCCUUCGGAGCUAACGCGUUAAGUAGACCGCCUGGGGAGUACGGUCGCAAGAUUAAAACUCAAAUGAAUUGACGGGGGCCCGCACAAGCGGUGGAGCAUGUGGUUUAAUUCGAUGCAACGCGAAGANCCUUACCUACUCUUGACAUCCAGAGGAGCCAGCAGAGAUGCAGGUGUGCCUUCGGGAACUCUGAGACAGGUNCUGCAUGUCUGUCGUCAGCUCGUGUUGUGAAAUGUUGGGUUAAGUCCCGCAACGAGCGCAACCCUUAUCCUUGUUUGCCAGCACGUAAUGGUGGGAACUCCAGGGAGACUGCCGGUGAUAAACCGGAGGAAGGUGGGGACGACGUCAAGUCAUCAUGGCCCUUACGAGUAGGGCUACACACGUG